This 289-nucleotide unclassified non-coding RNA is filed under the name uncultured fungus. RNAcentral's name for it is "partial contains 5.8S ribosomal RNA, internal transcribed spacer 2, and large subunit ribosomal RNA". The stretch from base 1 to 52 matches the Rfam family "5.8S ribosomal RNA", at positions 103 to 154 of the family's 154-position model. Lineage: Eukaryota; Fungi. The record is from RNAcentral.
AACGCACAUUGCGCCCGCCAGUAUUCUGGCGGGCAUGCCUGUCCGAGCGUCAUUUCAACCCUCAAGCCCUGCUUGGUGUUGGGGACCGGCUUCCCGCGGGGCGUCUUGGCCUAAGCCCGAGCUCGCCCCCGCCAGCCGCCCCUGAAAUGGAUCGGCGGCCUCGCUGGCGCCUCCCCUGCGUAGUAGCAACAGAACCUCGCAACGGGAGCGCGGCGCGGCCACUGCCGUAAAACGCCCAACUUUUCUAAGAGUUGACCUCGGAUCAGGUAGGAAUACCCGCUGAACUUAA